UUCUAGUCAAUAGACUUCAUACGAGGUGCUGCAUGGCUGUCGUCAGCUCGUGCCGUGAGGUGGUUGGUUAAAGUCCUGCAACGAGCGCAACCCCUGUUUCCAGUUGCCAUCAAGUAAAGUUGGGGACUCUGGAGAGACUGCCUGCGCAAGCAGAGAGGAAGGUGGGGAUGACGUCAAGUCAGCACGGCCCUUACGUCCAGGGCUACACACGUGCUACAAUGGCCGGUACAGAGGGCAGCGACCUGGUGACAGGUAGCGAAUCUCCAAAGCCGGUCUCAGUUCGGAUCGGAGUCUGCAACUCGACUCCGUGAAGCUGGAUUCGCUAGUAAUCGGAUAUCAGCAAUGAUCCGGUGAAUACGUUCCCGGGCCUU
RNAcentral lists this ribosomal RNA (371 nucleotides) under uncultured Bacteroidales bacterium. RNAcentral's name for it is "bacterial SSU rRNA". It matches the Rfam family "Bacterial small subunit ribosomal RNA", at positions 1014 to 1382 of the family's 1533-position model. The record is from RNAcentral. Lineage: Bacteria; Pseudomonadati; Bacteroidota; Bacteroidia; Bacteroidales.